This 83-nucleotide transfer RNA is filed under the name Trichonephila inaurata madagascariensis. RNAcentral describes it as "tRNA-Arg". It matches the Rfam family "tRNA". Rfam says of the family: Transfer RNA (tRNA) molecules are approximately 80 nucleotides in length. Their secondary structure includes four short double-helical elements and three loops (D, anti-codon, and T loops). Lineage: Eukaryota; Metazoa; Arthropoda; Arachnida; Araneae; Nephilidae. The record is from RNAcentral.
UUCAGGAUGGCCGAAUGGUUAUGGCAUCGGACUUCUGUUCCGAUUGACGAUUGUGUCUGCAGGUUCAAUUCCUGCUCCUGGAC